AUCGUUUGCUGGGAGCUUCUGGCUUGUGUCGAGGUUUAAAUUAUUCCGUUCCUUUCUUUAUCCGUUAACAAUUUCGUUUUCAUUUCUUUUAGUUUCACUUUCCUUUCUGCUGUAGUUUCAUUUUUUUUUCGAAGAACGCUUUUGUUUUUGUUUUUUGACUAAAGACAGCAAGUGGAGUCCACCCGUGUCGGAUCCGUCUGAAUAAUAUCAAAAAAUCUUCGACAGAGAAACUGAAACUAUGCCACUGAAGAAGACAGUCGGAGGAAAAAUGGCUGCAAAAAAGAAAACGAAGGCUAAGACAGCUAGACCAAAAGUGGCUUCAAAAAAGAAAACGAAGGCUAAUACAGUCAGAGCAAAAUCAGCUUCGAGAAAGAAAACAAAGACUAAGCCAGUAGAAGUGAAUCAGGGACCAAAAAAAGGAAAAAAAGUUACAGUUCAAGGAAACAAGCCUGCACCUCCCAAAAUGAAAGCAAAUCCAAACACAGGAAUGAAGUCAACAAACAACAAACCAAAAGCUGGUGCAGUGAAAAGAGUGGUGGGACCGCAGAAGAGAAAAAAUCCUAAUCCAGCAGAAGGCCAGAAUCUAGCAAAAAAGAAGAGAAAGUCUCCAGCAUGUAAUACGCAAAGCAUGUCCGUGAUGGCUCUUCCUAAAGUCCAGCGAUCAAUUGCAUCUCCUCCGACCAUUCUUCCUGUUUGUAACGUCACGGUUCAAACAUCUGCCAGGAGCGAUUCUUGCCAGCCUUCAGGUGGCCCAAUGAAUCGAUUUAAUAACGGUGACACGAUCAACCAAGGAGUUACUAACAAUGCUGCAGUGUGUGCACAGAGAGAUAAGAUAGACAACUCUCAAUCUGGAAGCGACAAUAUUCAAGAUGAAAACCUGUUGUUUCUAAGGAAAAACAAUGUUAAGUUAAUCGACAGGCUAAAAAAUGUCGUCGAAAUCCUUGAUCGCCUCCAAUUAACCAACGAAAAAGCAGCGAUAGUGCGAGCAGAGAAGAUCAGGAGAGGAUGAGGAAGCUUCUGGAGUUCACGACCAGCACACAUGGUGCAGAACGUCUAGUCACAGCCUUGUGGAGCUGCGCAAGCGAUGUCAUGGAAGACCUGACCAACACCAACUGAAGAUCAACGAAUAGAUUCCAGCUCUGACGCAUCACUUCGAUUUCAUCGAUGAGUGAACGUCAACGGGUCAUAUCAUUUUUCUAAUGUUUUUAUCUAAAGUUGUUUGUUGUCUUAUUUUAUUAUUAUUAUUUUAUUUUUUUAUUUUUUUACAUACAUGUAUUUUUCUAUACCCAAGAUGUGACUUCUGACAUGAAGUUAAAAAAAAAAGGGAAAUUUUUAUAUCAGGUUCUUAAAUAAUGUUUUUAAAGAAAUUGCUGACAAUCAAGCUCAAACUUUUUCCAUCUCAAGCAAAGUCUAUUUUAUGCAAAUAAUUUAAGCAGUGGGUCUUCUUAGACAUGUUACCUGUUUAGCUAAGUUCAAUUGAACUCUUUAUUAGUCGUACUCUAAUACGCUAAGUGAUGCACCUCCACCCACUUUUUAACAAAAGAUUAAAUAGUAAAGACAAUUUUUCACAGCCUUCUUUGCUCAUAUUUACCAAGUCUGCCAAUAUUAGUGGAGGCCACUGUAUGUAAAUAAAUAAAUAAAUUAAAUAAAUAAAUAAAUAAAUAAAACUAUACAAAAAUGGUGGUGUUGAAUAUCUGUCUUAGUAAAAUGUGGUUAUAACGUUAUGAUCAGCCAUCAACUGACUAUAAUAUAUCUAUAUAAUAGUCAGCUGAUGGCUGAUCAUAUUGUGUUUUAAAAACUUGUUUAGUUUGCUCUACAGUCAUGUGUGCAGCUCUACUCAUCAAAACGUUCUCCAAUUUCUACUUCUGUUAGUUGUCACUGUGCUCUCCUUAUCAACAGGUGGCAGCACUACACAACAUGAUCAUCCUCUUGAUCUUAAGUACAAAAUUAUUUGUCAUUUGUCGUGUGAAGAAACUGGAUAACAUCUAGAGCAAACCCUAUGAUGGGUAAAGCUUUAUCUUGGCCAGAAAUGUAGACAAUGAGAAACAGUUUCGUAGGUAUUAAAACAUUCAGGGGGCAUGCGUCUAUGGGUAAAUAAUCAACAACAGGGUGGUGUGUUGUACCCUGGUACCCCAGUAACAGCAUGCUCUGAAAUGUUUGUCUUCCUCUUAUAAUCCAGCAAUUUGGCAGCAUUUACAAUUUCUCAUUUAUUAAUCAUACUGUUUAUCCAUUCAUAGAUGCAUUUACAUGCAGCUGGCACUAUUUUCAGACCUGCGCUUAUAGAAAAUGAGUCAACACCUUCUGAUCAAUCAGAAUUAAGCCGUGAUGAGCCUGGGGCUCCAAAUUGGCAAAGCUACUACCUCACAAAGAUUUCUACUGAAGGUCGUGAGUUCAAAUCUCAGCUCUGCCAGGCUGCCACUGUUGGGCCCUUGAGCAAGGUGUUAACGCUCAAAUGCUCAGUUCAUCAUGAAAUGAGAUCAAUGUAAGUCGCUCUUUAUAAGGUCGUUUACCAAAUGUCAUUUCUCUCUCUUUCUCUCUCUCUGUGGACUGACUUCACCAUGUACCAAUAAAUGUGUCCCUCAGGGGUUCAUUUUUGCCAUCUGCAUCUCUGUGAGUAUCACUUAUGUCUCGCAGAUGUUAUAAACAUGAUUGAGAGUUUGGACGAGGGCUUGUUGCUGCAUGAUUUUUACAGUUUCGACACACGAUGUCUACACACAUUAAAACAGGAGCACGUAACGGCUCUUGGUGUGUACAGUACCGGCAUAAUGUUCUGACUGGCACUAACGCUUCUAAACACAUGAAUUAUGAAAAUAAUAUGACAUUUAGAUAUGCUGUAAGAGAAGCAUGGGUGUGAGGUAAUUUAUUCCUACUAACAGUGUAGUAGUUGCACAGAAAAAUUCUCAGAGGUGAGUCCCAGGCGUUUUUCAUUUUGGCCAAACACCCCACAUAUUCAAUUUUAUUUUAUCUGUAUAGUGU
Ictalurus punctatus (channel catfish) is the source of this 2976-nucleotide long non-coding RNA. The record is from Ensembl. Lineage: Eukaryota; Metazoa; Chordata; Actinopteri; Siluriformes; Ictaluridae.